ACCUCUACAAUAGAGCUCCAGAGUUGAGUAUUCUUUUUUAAAUAAAAAAGAAUACUCAACUCUGGAGCUCUAUUGUAGAGGU
Molecule: non-coding RNA, 82 nt
Organism: Pelobates cultripes (western spadefoot toad)
Lineage: Eukaryota; Metazoa; Chordata; Amphibia; Anura; Pelobatidae
Source: the annotation of a GenBank genome assembly